UGGGCGUAGGAAGGUGGGUUUAUUUCCGGCCACGCGGCGCCCUGGAGCGGCUGUGGCGGUGCGGGGCCUUCCCCGGGAGCCUGGAAGGCUUUCGGGCCGGGACGUGCGGCGGCGCGCUGGGUUCAUCCGGAACCGUACGCUGACAAGUCAAGGGGAGCUAAACUGGAGGGCGUGGGAAGGCCAGAGAGACUGGAAGCCUCGGCCGUUGUGUGCGGAGAAGCUGUCAGCCUUCUAAGAGAGCGUGUAGCCGGCGAGCGCAUCGUGGUGCUUCGAUACCGAGCUGACAGCACAGGCCUCAAUCUUUUUUUGUGAAAAGGGAUCAGCGGGAAAUGUGUUGAUGUUGAAGGGGGAAAGGUGGCGGGGGAAGAGAUUUGAGCAUCGAUGCCAUGGACGUAGCAGGCGAGCAGCAGCUGGACGUAGAGCACAAGCCGAUUAAACAACGCUUGGAUAAAGCUGCCAAUCGUGUGACUCCAGAAGCAGAGAGACACGGAUUGCAGGAGAGCCCCAGGGGAGCAAUGUGUCAGCACAGAAAACUUCCGCAAGCUCAAGCAAGAAAGGCAAAGGACCAAAUCUUGUUCCUGUUGAAAAAGUUGCUUUUCUACGCAUAGAAAACACAAUGCUAUUUUGCAACCACAAAGAUGAAAACCUUCAGGAACUCUGAAGAUGGAAAUCCAUCUAGCCAUGCAUUGCCAACAAGUGCUUAGUGUUUUCAGUGGAGAGCUAAGAAAUAGCAAAUUCCUGCACAAACUCUGAGUAUCCCACCUCCAGGAAGCAGAAACGGGAAAGACGUGUCCCACAGGUGACUCGACUGGGAGGAAAUUUAAGAGACUGACUACCUGGCUGGCUGGAGGAUUGUGUGACAGUGACAUCCCAGUUAGGCCAAGAGCUGACAGCUGUGUUCCCGGUUCUGUCUCUGAGAAACUACUCCCCUCUCUGCUUGAGGGUCUUCUGUGUGGCUGGUAGAACCCAAGUCAUGGCAAGGAUUGCAGAUCUUCGGAGAGCAGCACCAUAGAAGAGCCAUACCUAGGGGUGUGUGAACAGCAUUGUACUGGGGAAGUGUAUAGUCCAAAAGCAGAGGCACAACUUGGUUGCUGCUCAAACAUUUUACCUGAGGAGUCUGUAAGAUAUUCCAGAGAAGGUACCGAGGUACAGAGGGAGACUGCAUCUCCGUCUCUGCAGCAUUUUCUGGUGUAAAAUACAAUAAGGAUGUAGCAGGUGCUUGAAAGGAAGAAUGCAGAAGAGAACAGAGGAAAAGGAGGGCUGACAGUUGAGAAUCAAGGGGCAAAGUAUCUCAUCAAAGCGGUUUAUGCAGCUGCUUCAAAGCUGAAUCAAUUCUUGAGGACCUGGACUGCAACUGCAAACCAGGGAGUGAAAAACAGCCUAGCAAAUACAGCUCUUUAAGCAGAAACAGAAGAGUUCAGUUCCAGAGGAAGAUUUUUUUUCCCCGGUACCUCAAAACGGUUCUACCCAGCUGCUCUAACAAGUUAUUCUGAAGUCAUCUAACUUUCAGAGCAGUACUUCGUGGAGAUGCCCAUGGUUUUCAGAAUGGGCUCUUAAAUCAUUAGUGGAAACUGCAGCAUGUCCAACAGCUGAAAAACGGCUCUUCUAGAAUGAAGUGUAUACUUUUUAACCUGGUACUCGUGUUCAAUAGAAAUGUUAAAAGAUAUCCAAUGGGAUGGUAAUCGUAAGUGUAUACAAUGGCCUGAAGAUAACUACAUUGUUGUAUUUGCAGCAUCUCAUCAGAGGACAGACCUAUAAGCAACAGUAAUAGGCAGAAGACAGGCAUGCUAUGAAAGUAUGACAGGGUUUGUUAAUGAUGAAUGUUUGUCCCUGCUUUCUGAUGUUACAGUAGAACAAGGUUGACCUUAGAAAAGGUCACAAAGACUUAAAAAUUAAAGUAGUUCAUCCAAGUUUAUUAGCAGUGAAUGAUUCUUUUCUGCCUAAAAUGCUUAACCCAGAGGAAAUGAAAGGAGCUAUGGGUUUCCUUUGCACUGCUGGUUUUACUGUAGGCUUCAUAAAGUGAGCCUUCCAGGAUGCAGCUUCAUCCCUUCCUGAUCCCACAUCCCUGUUCUACUUUGCAAUGGAAUCUCCAGGAGCUGCAAUAAUUUUCUCGCUGUUUUGCAUUGUCUGCCUUGUCUGUUCAGCGCGGAGGAAGAUGUCUGAAACAGGGAAGCUGCCUUCUGGGCCAUUUCCUUUGCCCCUCAUGGGAAACAUGCUGCAGCUGAAGAAUAACUUCCCUGAGGCAAGUGGAUGUAACUUAAAAGCUGUGUUCUUUUUUGUUAAAUUGUUUCAGCUCAGUUUGGUCCCACGUUCACAAUACAUUUGGGCUCAGUAUGUGCAGUGGUGUUGUAUAGACCUUAUGUUGUAAAAUAAGCUCUGAUUGAUUAACAGAGGUGUAGAGUUCAGUGGAAAAGGACUUAUGCCACUCUCCCAAAAGUUCUCCAUAGGAACAGGUACUUUUCUGUGAGGCUUUGCCUAGGCAGAGGUGUUCUUUUGGGAGGAUAAAACUGAGAAGACAGAAGCGGGAAGAGCUGAUGUUUCAUUUAAUAUGAGAGCAAUGCCUGGCAGAAUCUGGAGAGAUCUUUGGCUCGCUGGCAUUAAAUGGUCCUAGUCUCUUUCUGCUGUAGAUGAUAGCUGUUGCACCUUGUAAGGUCUGGAUUAUGACCUGGAGAGCAGAUGGCUGUGGUGGCAUCCUCACACAACUUUCCAUCCUUGUAACUGGGUAUGUCAUCCCAGUGGUACAAGUAGAUCCUAAGGUAGCCAGGGCUACUUUCCACCAGGGGCUAUUGGCCUCCCUCUCUCUCCCCCUCAUUUUCAAAGAGUUGAAUUAGGAACAAAGGAAAUUCAGGGAGGCUGCCAUAAAGAAACUAGGCAUCUUUCUGACAUGAUAGCAAGUUAAAGAAUUUUACUUAAAGGCACUGCAUAAGGAGUAGUUAAAGAAAGCAAUGCAGUACAGACAUGAUAUAGGAAUGCUAUGCAAUAAAAUAGGAUGCACUGUUUGAAAUUUGAAAUAUUAAACGAGAAUCAAUGUGACAAGUGAAUAGCUGUUCAAAUUUAAAGGUAAACGUUACUUUGAAAGAUGCUAAAAAGCAUUUAACCUGGGAAUUAUGACAGGAAAUAUUUUCUACCUCACCUUAGUACAGAGGAAAAAUUUCAUCUGAAAAGGAAAAGCCAAUGGAAAGACCAGUUCAUUUUUACCUUCUGCAGUUUCUUACAGCGAAUGUUCCCCAGACUAUACAAAAACCUAAAGCCUUGCUAAAGCGUAAUUGUCCAUAGUGAUUACUCAUGUUUCUAACCUACAGCAUGUACAAUCAUUUUACUCUCUCUCUUAGUAGAAAGCAUAUGCUGUUUCCUAUAAAGGAGGCCACAUUUUAGCCUAUGAAGAGAGUUCAGGUGAGCCUCAGAGCUUGUUAUUUCUUGCAGUGCAUGAGUACAGCACAGGAACAUCUAAAGGUCAUCAUUUUUGGGGAAUUAAUCCACUUAUGUAGGGUUUUGGGGAUUUUCCUUUACUUUUCAAUAGUAUUUCAGACAGCUGCAAAUGGAACCCAUCAGGAAGCUGGGGCAGGGAGUCAGCUGGAACAGAAAUCAGAUGCCACAAGCUAGGCAGUAAAAUCCAUAAUCUGUCCUUUGACCCCAGUUCUGUGGGCUUCUUGAUUUGAACAAUAGGUAACCAAAGUGUGUUCAUGUGUGUGGGAGGCUAUUAAGAGGGCCACACAUUGCAGAGUGGAAAAGCUAUGCUCCUUGGACUGAGUCUUCAGUGAAAGCAGCCAAGUGGGGCAGGUGAGCUUGAAAAGGCAAAAACACAAGUGUGAAAACUCUCCUUGGUUCCCUCAGCUGCAAGAAAGUUGGAACCUUCGCUCUGUGUGUGCCUCUAUUGAGUGCACGGGGCAUAUACCACAGCACACAAGUAUUGUGAGUUACAGUUGUGAUGCAUGUGAAAAACGUCUCUGUUGUAUUUGUUUGGCAAACAGAUGAUCUGUUUAGAAAGGUGGGUCCCAGAUCCAAAGUUCUUCAGUGUUAAUCAGUAAUCCAGCAGACAGCUUAAUCUGUGAUACAAAGCUGCUUUCAACUCUUGGGUCUCUAGAGAGUCAUAUAUAGCUUAACAUGCUACUGUAUAGAGGUAUCAAGGACAUCUCAAGAGGUCAGAAUUUAUCUUUGUCACAGUUUAAGCGCAGCUGGCAACUAGGUACCACGCAGCUGGUCACGUACUCUCCCCAGCCUGGUGAGAUGGGGAGGACAAUUGGAAAAAGCUAAAACCCAUGGGUUGAGAUAAGAAUAGUUUAAUAACUGAAAUAAAGUAAAAUAUACUAAUAAUAAUAUAAUGAGAAGGGAGAUAACGAGAAGAGAGAGAGGAAUAAAACCCAAGAUGCACAGUACAAUUGCUCACUGUGCGCUGACCAAUGCCCAGCCAGUCCCUGAGCAGCCAUCGGCCCCUCCCAGCCAACUCCCCCCAUUUUAUAUACUGAGCAUGACAUUCUAUGGUAUGGAAUACCCCUUUGGCUAGUGUGGGUCAGUCCUGAUUAUGCUCCCUCACAGCUUCUUGUGCCCCUCUGUGUUGGCAGAGCAUGGGAAAUGGAAAAGUCCUUGACUUAGGGUAAGCACUGCUUAACAACAACUAAAACAUCAAUCUGUUAUCAACAUUAUUCUCCAUACUAAAUCUAAAAAGCAGCACUGUGCCAGCUACUAGGAAGAAAACUAAUUCUGUUUCAGUCAAAACCAGGACAAUCUUUGAAAUUAUAACUGUGAGAAUCACAAAGAACUUUGAGAGCUGUGCAUAAAGCCACUAUUUUCAUAACUUUCCCUUUUAAAUGCUGUGGGAAUUCACAAAUGUCUCAGCAGCCUUCCCUGCAGCCUACAAGGGGUAAGUAACAUACAUGCACACAUGAGGCUCUGGUAUGCACUCUGCCCACUACUUUUUCCUCUUUAACAAAAGAAAUCAAAGAUACCUGAUUUUACACCUGGCUACUCUAAAGUGCUUGUAUUCACCUUUGAUCACUCCAUCUCCCAUCACCCACAUCUAUCCUUAGUGUCCAGACAUACAAUUAAUUAUGCGCGUCAUGUUAAUUUACAAUAGUAGCUCAGGCAAGGGCUAUUGCCCUGUUAUGGGUAAAAUGCUCAAGUACGUUUGUUUGCCUCAUGGGUUGCUUCCCUGAGUUUGUCACUUGGGAACACCUUUGGUGCAUUUGAGAACUUGCCAGUUCUUUUCUUUGCUGGUGCUUGCCCAUCUGACUGUUGCUUCUGUAGCUGCUUCCACCUUAGGAACGUCUUAGAAACUUGAGCUCACAGAGGUGCUUGCGUUCUGUGAGAGGUAUUUGGGAACUAAUAGCAACAGUGCACAGAAUGGAUUAAUUGAGUUUGAAAGCCACUUUUUCACAUGGUCAAGUGACAGGACAUCGUGUCAAGUUUGCCAUAGAAAAUUCAUAUAGCCCUGCCUAGGGCACUGCAAUGCACUGUCUGUAACAGUACCAGCAGAAGAAAAAGUCUAGGCAACACUGAGUGCUAGCAGGCAGGGUGAGAGUGAGCAGUAUGGCUUUGUGGGGGAUGUAGAGCUUGCUAAUGAUGGUUAAUUUUUUAAACUGAUGAUUUUCAGUUUUGUGGUUAACCAAGGUUGAUGAGGUAAAUCCUAUCCAUUAAAUGUUUGAAAUUUUAAAAAUCUGAUCCUUACUGUCCCAGGAGGCGGUAGGUAACAUUACUUGGCACUAAAGCACCUAGUGAGCAUAGUUAUAGGUUAUCAUUGCACUGCUUUUUGUACCACAGGCAACACAAAGUGAGGCUUCAGGACGCAGCUUUAGCCCUCCCCUAAUCUCAAAGCCCGCUGCAUAUCGUGGUGGAGUCUGUGGGAGCUAAAGCUGUCGUCUUGCUGAUUUGUAUUGACUGCCUCCUUGUCUUUUCAGCAUGGAAGAAGACGUCUGGAGCAGAGAAGCUGUCCCCAGGCCUUUUGCUUUGCCUAGCUUAGUCAUGGCACAGCUGAAGAGAAAGUAUGGAGUGCUUUCUUUUUACCUGGUGAGAAGACUUGUAAUAGUUGAUCCUCUUUGGUAUAUGGCAAUAAACUAGAUGAUAUUUUCA
Long non-coding RNA from Falco peregrinus (peregrine falcon), 6066 nucleotides. RefSeq lists it as uncharacterized. Lineage: Eukaryota; Metazoa; Chordata; Aves; Falconiformes; Falconidae. The record is from RefSeq and is a predicted model, not a curated record. The transcript has 5 exons.